RNAcentral lists this unclassified non-coding RNA (1919 nucleotides) under Hevea brasiliensis (rubber tree). Lineage: Eukaryota; Viridiplantae; Streptophyta; Magnoliopsida; Malpighiales; Euphorbiaceae. The record is from RNAcentral.
CUAAACUCUUUCUUUUUUUUUUUUCGCUUAGUUUAGCUCGAUGAGAAGCAGAGUUACUGAAGCCAAGAUUCCAAGCACGAUCUUACUAAUUAGAGCGAAUAGCGAGGUGUCGUGUUCUGGAUUCUUUUAAUAGAAUAAAGAAUUGGGUUUACCUCAGAAUAUGGAAACAAAUCGAUUUCUUUAUCUGGGUAUGAUUCUUCUGCUGCUUAUCGUUGACUUCUCUUUCGUUGAUUCUAAGGCAAAUGUGAGUGCAAAGAAUGACUUAGAUCCACAAUCAAAUAACGUAACUGGUUCGAAUGAGCAAGCAGGUGAAUUGGGAUCAGUUUCAGAUUCUAAUGGAGCUCAUAAAGAAAAGAAAAAUAAAGGAAAUCAACAGAAUAAAUUAAAGGAGAGUAUUGAUGACGGUAAGAAAAAUCAUUAUAAUUCAAGUGGCCAAUCUGGGUCCAAAAAAACAGAUAAUCUGGUAAAUGAUACAAGUAAGUUGAAUGAGAAAUCGCAAGGGGAAAGUGAUGAUAGUAAAAAGAAGACCAUGCCGAAGGAGAGUGGCAGUGGAGAAGAGUCAGGGCAUGGGAAAAAAGGUUCUCGUGUUGAAGAAUGUGAUCCUUCCAACAAGUGCAUAGAUGAGGACAACAACUUGGUUGCUUGUUUAAGAGUUCCAGGAAAUGGUAUGUGUUCAGUUCUCUUAAUUCAUACAUGUUUGAUCCUUGUUUUGCUAAUGUUAAUUAUAUUGCCUGAUUUACUCUGUUGUCUAUUUAUAUGCAAAGAAAUUAAAGAUUUUCACUGGGAUGCAAUCAGUGCAACUGCAAAUAAGCCAACUAAUAGGCCAUUUACUUUUGGAGUACGUGACUAGUGUAUAUCUAAGUGUUGCCUUCUAAUAGAAUAUGAAAAUAUAGGAGUUAACAGCUGUAAUAUGUCAAUAAGCAUGAAUUUCAUUAAAAUUAUGAGUUCUCUGAUAUUUUGUAGUAUCUUUUUAGCAUAUGGAUUUCACUGCAUGUAUGGAUUUACUUCUCUUUUUAUUUCCAGAUCAAUAUUCACUUUUAAUUCAGAAUAAAGGGAAAAACCCUCUCACAGUUACUAUUUCUGCUCCGGAUUUUGUUCAAUUGGAGAAAACAGAAAUUCAGCUCCAAGCAAAAGAAGAUAAAAAGGUGAAGGUCUCUAUUACAAGUGGAGGAAGUGACAACUUGAUUGUCCUAAAGUCAGGAAAGGGUCACUGCAGCCUGGAUAUAAGACAUUUGAUUGAUAAGGAGUUUGAUAACUCUCAGAAGUCUACGUAUUUAAACUUCAUGUCACCAACUCCUACCAUUGUUGUCUUGGCCAUUGCUGCACUGCUAAUACUGGCAGCAGGUUGGAUGUGCAUCAGCUUCCGGAGGAAGCAACUCUUCAGCAUUGGCUCUAAAUAUCAAAGUCUAAACAUGGAUCUGCCAGUUUCUGGUGGGGGAAAACCAGAAUCUGAAGUCAACAAUGGAUGGGAUAACAGUUGGGGUGAUGAUUGGGAUGAUGAGGAGGCUCCCAAGACACCUUCACUACCUGUUACUCCAAGCCUCUCAUCUAAAGGCCUUGCCUCACGACGAUUGAACAAGGAGGGGUGGAAAGAUUAGCCGACUAUAAGAAAAGGGUUGGGGGACAUCUAUAUAGUUUCCAUUUUUCUCAAACUCUUUUUUCGAGUUUGUUUGAUAGGUAGUCUUUUCAUUUUCUUUUUCCGCAGUGGAUAUAGAUGCUUGGAAUGAAGUUUGACAUUUCUACAUGCUGCUACUUCUUCACUCAUAUCCUAUAUAGAAUUUUAAAGUGCAAAUGGAUUUUUGAUUCUUUCAGAAAACAUUGAGUUUUGAUCAUGACACGAUGGCGUCUGGACCAUCAUUGGAGUCUCCAUGUUUCUCUAUGGACUUUUGGUCCUGGACCUCGUGAAAUCCUCAAGCAGG